GGGCCGGUAGUUCAGCUUGGUAUACAUUUGGCCAAAGAACGUCCGGUUCGCAACCGGAAGGUCGCGGGUUCAAAUCCCGCCCGGUCCACCA
RNAcentral lists this transfer RNA (91 nucleotides) under Candidatus Bathyarchaeota archaeon. RNAcentral describes it as "tRNA-Ala". It matches the Rfam family "tRNA". From Rfam's summary of the family: Transfer RNA (tRNA) molecules are approximately 80 nucleotides in length. Their secondary structure includes four short double-helical elements and three loops (D, anti-codon, and T loops). RNAcentral also lists the same sequence under 2 other names. The record is from RNAcentral. Lineage: Archaea; Thermoproteati; Candidatus Bathyarchaeota.